This is a long non-coding RNA of Triticum aestivum (bread wheat), 243 nucleotides long. RefSeq lists it as uncharacterized. Lineage: Eukaryota; Viridiplantae; Streptophyta; Magnoliopsida; Poales; Poaceae. The transcript is spliced from 2 exons. The record is from RefSeq and is a predicted model, not a curated record.
GCCUCAAAUGUCCUGGAGCAUAUAGUACUUGACCGAAGCGCGGAGCCGACUAAUCUGCCGUUAGCACUUUUAAAACACAUCACUGAGGAUUUCAAUGAUAAGCAACAAAUUGGCUGUGGUGGAUUUGGAAUUGUUUACAAGGGCGAUCUUCAAAACAGUAGUGUUGCUGUUAAAAGGAUUUUAAACUACCAUACAAUCAACGAUGAAUCAUUUAAUCGUGAGACUACUUCUCUAAUCAGUGUA